GGCGCAGCAGUCGAAGUAUCGCGCUCCUCAUGCUAACUCCGUGGAUCGGAAUCACCGUGCUCCACAUGUGCUCUCGUUUCUCGAUCGUCCACCAGUCGCCACCCCUUGCCGCUUGAUUUCGCCCCUUCCAUCCCUUAUUCGCUGACCCUGAGAUACUUUCCAACACUCUUCAGCAAAAGGGAUAGGAGUCAGAGUGUGCGGGGUUACCACCACUCUGCACCUUAUUAAAUUUAUCGCAAAUAUUAUUUCGAAGAUCGGUUGCUUGUCUAUCGAACGCAAAUUCUUGUCGACUAAGUGACCGAUCUGGAGUUCGUUGCAACUUGCAAUAUUUUUCAAUGCACCGAAAGAAAGUAUCGUCUGUGUUGUGACUUAUGAAGUGUCGGCAUGAGUGUUGUUCCGGUGUAACGAUAAGUACCUCGAUUUGAGGAUUUAUUUUACAUCCAUACUUUUACAUUCCUUCGGUGAUGAACGAUUUUUCGGAAACUUUAAAGUGAUUUCUAGGCGUUGCUUCUGUGUGUUCAAAUCGUGCGGGACUUCAAACGCUGCGUUACGCAGAGCAUCUAAUCCAUCCGCUAAACUUGCAGAAAACAGUUAUCUCAAGUGCUCUGCGGAAUUUUAUGGUCAUUUUUUCCUGGACGGCAAAAUAUUUCUUUCAAAUGUUUAUUUUGCUAGGUAUUGUGAAUAACUCCAGCACUAACGAAAGGAAGUGACUCUUAAAUUAAAACUUGGAUUUUUUCAAGAACUCCACAUCGUGACUCAAACAUUCCAGUUUGAAAGAAUUUUCCAUUCUAGGAAUGAUAAACUUUUCGCUUUGUUUUUAGUAGUGAGUUCAUUGGAAAAUUAAGAGGAGACAACAUUAUCUUUGUUUUCGUGCUGAAACUUUGAAGUGUUUUUUAUUGUGGCGAUAAUGUAUUUCAUUCGGAGAUUGAUGUACGUUCCGCCAAUCCCGCGGCAAGCAAAGUUACGUUCGUAAUGCAAGAAUAAAGUGCGGUUAAAUCAUGCACCGGGUUUCUGCGGAUUGUCUUUCAACGUGUGUUCCUGAUUUAAAACUAUAGUAUCGAUAAUUGGCGUCCCCUUCAACCUAACAGGUAGGAUUCUACCAGCGCUUUCAUUCGAGCAUUCGAUUGCCUGUGUCUCAUCUCAUAAAUUGUCUACCUCUCCUUUAAAUUUACUACAAACUGACCGCUUAAAAUCAAGGAGCUAUUU
RNAcentral lists this long non-coding RNA (1206 nucleotides) under Bemisia tabaci. RNAcentral describes it as "lncRNA ENSASIAIIG010697". The record is from RNAcentral. Lineage: Eukaryota; Metazoa; Arthropoda; Insecta; Hemiptera; Aleyrodidae.